This 643-nucleotide long non-coding RNA is filed under the name Marmota monax (woodchuck). The record is from RNAcentral. Lineage: Eukaryota; Metazoa; Chordata; Mammalia; Rodentia; Sciuridae.
CGACAUGUCUCUUUUUGCUAAUUUCUUGGUUAUUGUCAAAUUUACAAAUGUCUUCAUUACUGUUCUUCAUAAAACGUUUUAGCUUCCUUUGGAAUUGCUGAGUCAACCAGGAGAUAAUGGAGUACAUUUGCAGGAGCCCACGCUGUUUUAAUUAACUCCCCUUAAUGUCACCGAGGAGGGCGGGUAAGCAGGCCCUUUGCCAUGACCCUUCACUCUUGGAAAGUGAGCAUCUCCUCCGGAGAGCCGGCUUGGAGCAGUUCACUCUGGAAUGCCAUCAAGUCUCUUUUUUCACCUCUCCAAAAAGCAGAGCCUGUCUUGGAAUGUAGUAGAAACAACCCACCAGUGAAAAGUCCGAGCUGAAGAACUUGCUGCAAAUGUCCAAUGUUGACUUUUUGCCACAGCCUCCUGCAGGGAAGGAAGAAACUUUGUCUCUUUCCACCCCUCACUUCCUUUUUCCAGCCAGAGGUCACCUACCAAAUUUAGACAGGAAAGGGGCAGCUGACCAGAGAGCCAGGCCCUGUGCAGACUGGUAUGUGCCCAAACUGCAACAGGAGCAUAAUGCAAGCCACGUGUGUAAUUUUAAAUUUUCAAGUAGCCACAUUUAAAAAAGGAAGAAGAAAUUAAUUUAAAUAAUAUAUUGUAG